CCCGUUUCUCAAAUUUCUUCAGAAUGGAGUCUGAAAGGCUGGCUGGAAAAGCCGAGCCCGUGGAGGAGCCAGCUACUACCCUGAAAGCACGGAGCUCAGCAAGAUUCUGUAAACAAAGUUCCUGUGAAUCAGACACCACCGUCUGACUGAGAGGAGCAGUGAGCGUCUUUGAGGGACUGAGGUUGGCCACUCUUUCCUGGUGAACUGGACAUGUUGGUUCGCUUGCACAUCAGGAUUUCUCUGUUGUUGUGUUUGUGUUUCGGGUGCUGGGGAUGGGCCCAGGGCGGGGACGUUGGGCCAGUGCGCUCGCCUAGAGCCCCACGCCAGCCCUCCUCGGGUUAUCUGUGAUUUCUUUGCUUGUGAUCUCUUUCAUCUCUUGGUUGGAAUGUAAUUAUAAGUUGAUUCCUAUAAGCUCUUUAAGUUUUUUCCCCUUGGCUGUACUGGGAAUUGAAGCCAGUGCCUCACACAUGCCAGACAAUCACUGAGCUGCAUACCCAGACCUCUAAAAAAUGUUGUUCUCGGAGACAGGGUCUCGCUAAGUUACCAAGGCUGGCCUCACACUUGCCAUCCUCCUGCCUCAGCCUCCCCUGGGGCUGGGAGGACAGGUCAGACCACCACGCCUGGCUACAGUGCACGUGUAUCACCCUUCCAGCUCUCCCGGGAUCUGAGGCUCAGGAGUGGUUCUUCCGCGGUGGCAAUCAGAUGUCAGCCGGGGAUGCUGUCCUUUGAAGGCCUCAUGGUGAUUCACUUUGAAGGUGGCUCAGUUGCCUGGCUGCCCAGUUGGUGCGGGUUGUUGUUCAUGGACUUAUGGAUGAAUGGAUUAUCAUGGGAGUGGCUUUGGUGUACAAGUGGGCUCUCUCUGCCACGCUCGAUCUGUCUUGCCGUGUGGUGCCCUCUGCCAGGUUGUCAUGCAGCAGGAAGACCCCCACCAGGUGCCAUCAUCAGGUUCUUAAGACUUCCCAGCCUCCGGAGCCAUGAGCCAGAUAAACCUCCGUUCUUUAUAAACGACCCCACCUGUGGUAUUCAGUUAUAGCAACAGAAAGCGGACUAAGGCAUAUGGUAAGUAACAUAGUCAUGGAAACAGCCAUCAUGAAGGCAGAGGUUCCUAUUCAGAGUUCCCCUCAGAGGGCAGGCAUGGCCCACUAUACAGGGGGUCAGUUGAGGCAGAGAGAACCAAGGGAAAAUGUGCUAGAGCUUUUAUUGUGCUCUCCAUGGGAAAGCCUAAUCGUGCAGAGUUAGGUUUAGGAUUUGGCAAGUUUGGAUAAUUUCAGCAGAUUCUAGGGCAUAGGGCUGUCCCCGGUUGCCUGGUACCUGGCCCUUGAGUAACUAGGACAGAGGAAUAUUGGCCUGGGGGGUAAGAGUGUCCUGUGCUGUGUAAACUUGGGACGGUUGGUCUUUGGAAAGGCGUGUUCCUGGGCACACCAGCUGUUUACUAUCUCUGGAACUUAGCUAACUGUGGGAGGGGCCGUUGCUCAGGAUGGCAGCGUCAAGAGGGCAAAACAUGAGAUAGUAUCAGACCUAAGAAGCUUGGCACACAGACCUCUCCUCCCUCUGCCCUCUGCCCACCAGCUUCCUCCCCCGACCCCGCGCACCUGACCCUGCUCAGAUCCUUGCUCUGCCUGCCUGCCUUCCACGGCAGGGCUCUGUCCCUGGUCCUGUCUGCCUCCCUGGGUCCUGAGCCAUCAGGUUCACCCCGGGGACUUCUGGGUCCCUCCUGGAGCCCUGGAUCCAGGAGUCCAGCCACCUCCCAAUGCCCCGAUGUCUGUCAUCCCCAGAGCUCAUCUCAACCCUGUGCUCUGCCCAGGUGGGGGCUGAGCAGCCUCCCUCUGGGCUCCAAGGCUGUUCCCGUGGCUGAGUCACGCAAAGACAUGAGCACACCGCGAUUUCUCAGAAAUCGGCUCUUUGCCAAUCUGGCCCCAAAGAGCACGUGACCUUGAGGGACACAGAGGGGGCUGUGCUGGCCUUCCUCCCCUGCAGCCGGCUGCCCACCGUCUCAGUCCAUUUUCUAGGCUAUAGCGAGCGCCACGGACUGGGUCCAUUAUGAGCAGUGGAAGAGCAUCUGUGCUCUAUUCCGGGAGUCCCUGCGCCUGGCGCCAUCAUCAGGCCGGGGGCCUUAGCGGUGAGUCCCAAAUGGCAGAAGGGCCAGGAAGUGUGCAAGAGACGGAACCGGGCCCCACUUGCCCUGUUUAACAGGACCUGCUACUGCAAUCAGCAAUCCCAGGACAGAGGUUCCACCUUUUAAGACUGUUAGGCAGUCACCCUGCGCUACCUGGGCGGGGCUGUGGCCGGGAGGCAGGGCACUUGUGGGCAGGCUGGAGGCCCGGAGUCCGUCCCCAGCCCUGGAACAAACAAGCUCCAGAAUGAGCUUUGGAGGGAAUAUUCUAAGCAUGGCCCUGGUCAGAUCUGAUGGGUCUUCCUCCUUCACCUCUCGGAGUCCCUCUUCCUCUGUCCCAGUGCCCGUGUUUCCAUUCAUCUGCCAAGACGCAGACACCUGACUCUGUCUGCCCCCAGACCCAGCCUCAGCCAUUAGCCAGAGGGGAUCCUGAAACAGUCACGGAGGGCAUCUCCCACCCCCGCCUAGAAGGCCUAUUGCCCCGAAGAAAGCUCAACCUGACCCUGGUCUGAGUCUGUCCCCCAGGGCUCCUGGGAUGGAGGGGUGGUCCCCAGGAUAGGGAUGCUGAGAGAUGACAGGUUGUUAGGAGUUGGGGGUCCAGUGGCGGUUGUUUAGCUCACUGAGGGCGCUAGAGAGGACCCCAUGCUUUGUGGAACUCUGGUUAGCACUCAUCAGAGUACUAGUUCUCAAUGUCAUAAAGAGAGCAGGUCUGGCCCGGGCAUGGUGGCACAUACCUGCAAUCCCAGCAACUUAGGAGGCUGAGGAAGGAGGAUCACAAGUUCAAGGCCAACCCCAGCAACUUAGAGGUAGGAAGUAGGCCCAAAAUAAUUUAGUGAGACCUUGACUCGAAACAAAAAAAUAAAAAGGGCUAGGGAUGUGGCUCGGUGGUAAAGCACCCCUGGGUUCACCAUCCCCAGUACAAAAAAAAAAAAAGCCCCGUGAUGCACCCAGAGGAGAGCCGAUAUGGGUACCAUGCCCUUGAACCUCCUGAGCUGUGUGCUAAGGAAGCCUCUUUUCUUUAUAAAGGACUCAGCCUCAGGAUCUCAUUGUAGUUACAGCAAACAUGCCUCUUAGAUGGAGCCACAAGCCCUUCCCUGCUAAACUCUGUAGGCCUUUGGGCGGCCGUGAGCAUUUCCUGUUGCCUAGACCACAGGCCCCUGGCUUACUCAUCACCAUGCCAACACAUCCUCUGUCUGCCUCAAAGUCACGUCCUCUCUGCUAUCAGAUUAAUAAAGAGCAGAUUUUGAGAAGUCAUGGUGUGGGUGUGGGUGCGGACAUGGCAGGUGUGACCGAGCCCGGGGGAACAGCCUUGGAGCAGGGCAGUUAGACGAGGCUGUAAAAGUCACCCAUCACCUCCCAUGCAGCCACCUUAUUGGGGGACUCUAUCCUGCAGAUAAACUUGAGCACACGAGAGAAUUCACAGGAAGUGAGUCUGUGCUGCAUCUUUGUGAUAGCAAAGCCUGAAUAGCCAUCCGGCACAGCCCAGUUCAGGACAGACAGUGGCACUCUGUGAAAUGGGGGUCACGGUGUGGAAGGUGAGUCAAGUUCGGCCAGUAACAGAAGCUCAGGUGCAUGGGGUCACUGUCAAGCACCUUGGCCUUAUUUGUGAUUUUUCUUUUUCCUUCCUUCCUUCCUUCCUUCCUUCCUUCCUUCCUUCCUUCCUUCCUUCCUUCCUUCCUUCCUUCUUUCUUUCUCUCUGGUACUGGAGAUUGAGCUACUACUUAACCACUGAGCCCCAUCCCCAGCCCUAUUCUGUAUUUUAUUUAGAGACAGGGCCUCACUGAGUGGCUAAGUGCCUCACCAUUGCUGAGGCUGCCUUUGAACCCGUGAUCCUCCUGCCUCAGCCCCCCGGGCCGCUGGCAUUACAGGCGUGUGCCCCUGUGCCUGGCCUUGUGAUUUUUUCUUCAUGUGCAUUGAAACACCCAUCCCAUUUGCCCCUAGGAAUUAAGUGCCACGAUUCUCCACACUUUCCAGGUGAGGAGAGAACUGGGCAGUGCUGGGGGAGGGGGGCCUAAGGGACCUGCCCACAGUCAAGAGGGAGAAGUGACGCGGCCACUCGUGUUGAAGCUGGCCAGCCCUCGAUGCUGAUCUCCCGGCUCCGCCACCUCUCUUUGCUGGGGCGCCACCAAAAGAUGUCUCAGCGGUUGUUCAUUUAAAAAGCAGGAAAUGUUUUUGGAAAAUGUUAGCAUUUAAGGGACGCCGGGUAAAGAGAAAUGGGAACUCGGUGCAUUUUUGCAAUUUUUUAAACCUAAAAUCAUUCCAAAGUAAAAGUUUAUGAAAAAGAAAAACACCUCAAAGAGCUAUGUGUUCAUCUAUGUUCAUAACAGACGGAAACCAUCCCCGUCCAUGACAGAUGAACGGAAAAACACAACGCGGUCCGUCUGUACAGUCGGAUGUUAUUCAGUCUUAAAAAGGAAGAAGAUGUUGACAUGUGACCAUGUGGAUAAGAUUUGAAGACAUCAGGCGAAAAGAAACGAGUCACUCACAAGAGAACGGAUGCUACAUGAUUGUCCUCAUAGUGGGUCCCCGCCACCGUCCCAUCUGUAGUGUGCUAUCUAUCCCGUAGCAAGACCUAAGAGAACCAACUUACAUGGAGACAAGGUUUAUUCUGGCUCUGUUUAAGGGGUUUCCAUGCUCUAUUGAUUGGUCUUGUUGUUUGGGGCCUGUGACAAGGCAGCCCAUCAUGGAAAGAGUGUGUGUUGGGGGCUGGGGACGUGGCUCCAGUGGUAGCGCGCUUGCCUGGCAUGUGUGCGGCCCGGGUUCGAUCCUCAGCACCACAUACAAACAAAGAUGUUGUGUCC
Molecule: long non-coding RNA, 4914 nt
Filed under: Marmota monax (woodchuck)
Lineage: Eukaryota; Metazoa; Chordata; Mammalia; Rodentia; Sciuridae
Source: RNAcentral